GACGAACGCUGGCGGCGUGCUCAACACAUGCAAGUCGAACGAUGAUGCUGGAGCUUGCUCCAGUUGAUUAGUGGCGAACGGGUGAGUAACACGUGAGCAAUCUGCCCUUGACUCUGGGAUAACUGCGGGAAACUGUAGCUAAUACCGGAUACUUUCACCGGAAGGCAUCUUCUGGUGAUGAAAGAAUUUCGGUCAGGGAUGAGCUCGCGGCCUAUCAGCUUGUUGGUGAGGUAACGGCUCACCAAGGCGACGACGGGUAGACGGCCUGAGAGGGAGACCGGCCACGCUGGGACUGAGACACGGCCCAGACACCUACGGGAGGCAGCAGUGGGGAAUAUUGCACAAUGGGCGCAAGCCUGAUGCAGCAACGCCGCGUGAGGGAUGAAGGCCUUCGGGUUGUAAACCUCUUUUAGCAGGGAAGAAGCGAAAGUGACGGUACCUGCAGAAAAAGCACCGGCUAACUACGUGCCAGCAGCCGCCGUAA
RNAcentral lists this ribosomal RNA (484 nucleotides) under uncultured bacterium. RNAcentral's name for it is "partial 16S ribosomal RNA". It matches the Rfam family "Bacterial small subunit ribosomal RNA", at positions 28 to 523 of the family's 1533-position model. The record is from RNAcentral.